AGCUUGGUGCAGUGGCCAGUAUCGUAGCCAAUGAGGUUUAUCCGAGGCACGAUUAUUGCUAAUUGAAAACUUUUCCCAAUACCACAUCAUGACAACUUGCAGUAUAGUUUGACAGUCUAUAUGGAGA
This 127-nucleotide small nuclear RNA is filed under the name Cebus imitator (Panamanian white-faced capuchin). Its description in RNAcentral is "U4 spliceosomal RNA (ENSCCAG00000008535.1)". It matches the Rfam family "U4 spliceosomal RNA". From Rfam's summary of the family: U4 small nuclear RNA (U4 snRNA) is a component of the major U2-dependent spliceosome. The structure of U4 snRNA from yeast and human has been reported. Lineage: Eukaryota; Metazoa; Chordata; Mammalia; Primates; Cebidae. The record is from Rfam by way of RNAcentral.